GACGAACGCUGGCGGCGUGCUUAACACAUGCAAGUCGAACGGAAAGGCCCUGCUUUUGUGGGGUGCUCGAGUGGCGAACGGGUGAGUAACACGUGAGUAACCUGCCCUUGACUUUGGGAUAACUUCUGGAAACUGGGGCUAAUACCGGAUAGGAGCUCCUGCUGCAUGGUGGGGGUUGGAAAGUUUCGGCGGUUGGGGAUUGACUCGCGGCUUAUCAGCUUGUUGGUUGGGUAGUGGCUUACCAAGGCUUUGACGGGUAGCCGGCCUGAGAGGGUGACCGGCAACAAUGGGACUGAGAUACGGCACAGAGUCCUACGGGAGGCAGCAGUGGGGAAUAUUGCAAAAUGGGCGGAAGCCUGAUGCAGCAACGCCGCGUGCGGGAUGACGGCCUUCGGGUUGUAAACCGCUUUCGCCUGUGACGAAGAGUGAGUGACGGUAAUGGGUAAAGAAGCACCGGCUAACUACGUG
This 468-nucleotide ribosomal RNA is filed under the name uncultured bacterium. Its description in RNAcentral is "partial 16S ribosomal RNA". It matches the Rfam family "Bacterial small subunit ribosomal RNA", at positions 28 to 507 of the family's 1533-position model. The record is from RNAcentral.